This 512-nucleotide unclassified non-coding RNA is filed under the name Bombus terrestris (buff-tailed bumblebee). Its description in RNAcentral is "misc RNA ENSBTSG00005035481.1". The record is from RNAcentral. Lineage: Eukaryota; Metazoa; Arthropoda; Insecta; Hymenoptera; Apidae.
AAAUAGUCAAACUCGAAGAUGGUGUCCCACUGCGGGUAGCCAUGCACGUGUCAUUUAGCAAUUAACACUUUACCGACCGCUACCGAUUCAACAGCAUACGCACGUCCGACCGGCAGCUCAGGCGCAAAUUCUCCUUGGCGCCAGCUCUGUUUCGGUUUAGACUCUCGAAUACCAUUCUUUUCGUGCAUCGCGAACGAUGUUCGAAAUGGUUCCCUUGGAUUUCAAUACAGGCUGGCCAAGCCCACACAUCAGGCGCAUCUCUGCUAUUUCUUCAUUGGAAUAACGCAUAUUGGAAUAAUUCACGCUAUUCACACACAACGCGACGUAUUUCAAUAAUUUCAAUCCGCACUGUUCUCCUGACUCGUACGUACAUAGAUACUGACGAUACGAGAUAGCGUUUGUAAAAUUCGACUGGAAUACUGGGCGAAGGAUAUCAAGUUUUGUUUGUAAACAGUUCGGCAAGAAGAAUCGAGAAACACAACAUACGUCUAUCGAACUGCGAAACCAAAUCC